GAAUGUCGGUGAUAUUGUUCUUGUAAAAGAGAAGGAUUUUCAUAGAUCCAUGUGGCCUAUGGCAAUAGUGACGAAACUUUUUCCAAGUGACGAUUUCCUUGUCAGGAAAGUGGAAAUCAAACUCUAUAAGGAAAACAAGAUUUGUGUGUUCGUUCGACCCGUAGUCGAUCUUGUCCUGUUGGUAUCUUCAGAUGAUUAGUGACUCAAUUUUCAUGGAUAAUGACUGAUAUUUGAUUUUAUGUAUUAUGUAUGUAUGAUUUUGCUAGUUUAGCAUAUUGAAUUUGAUGUAGUGAUUUUUUUAUAAAAAUCAGGAGGGGAGUGUGCUGGAUUCCGGAUUUUUUUUUUUUUAUAUUUGUCCGGGAUUGGUUUUGUUUUGUAUGUUACAAAAAGCUCCCAGCACGUUCACGGCAUGGUACCCGUACUCAUGCAUUUUGACUUCCAACUUUCCACAACUUCAUGGCACCAAAGUUAUUUUACCCUCCCUGGAGGUUGUCUCUCUGCCAUUAAAAGUAAAGAAACA
Molecule: long non-coding RNA, 520 nt
Organism: Ostrea edulis (European flat oyster)
Lineage: Eukaryota; Metazoa; Mollusca; Bivalvia; Ostreida; Ostreidae
Exons: 2
Source: RefSeq, a predicted model, not a curated record